CUUUUUUUGGGGGGAAGCACCCCCAAUUUUUGGGGGGGAGCCUUUUGUCCGGCUGGGAAACCUCCGUCUUAAUACGGUGGGGGGAUGACGGUACCGGAAGAAUAAGCACCGGCUAACUACGUGCCAGCAGCCGCGGUAAUACGUAGGGUGCAAGCGUUAAUCGGAAUUACUGGGCGUAAAGCGUGCGCAGGCGGUUCGCUAAGACCGAUGUGAAAUCCCCGGGCUUAACCUGGGAACUGCAUUGGUGACUGGCGGGCUAGAGUAUGGCAGAGGGGGGUAGAAUUCCACGUGUAGCAGUGAAAUGCGUAGAGAUGUGGAGGAAUACCGAUGGCGAAGGCAGCCCCCUGGGCCAAUACUGACGCUCAUGCACGAAAGCGUGGGGAGCAAACAGGAUUAGAUACCCUGGUAGUCCACGCCCUAAACGAUGUCAACUAGUUGUCGGGUCUUCAUUGACUUGGUAACGAAGCUAACGCGUGAAGUUGACCGCCUGGGGAGUACGGUCGCAAGAUUAAAACUCAAAGGAAUUGACGGA
RNAcentral lists this ribosomal RNA (532 nucleotides) under uncultured Burkholderia sp. Its description in RNAcentral is "partial 16S ribosomal RNA". It matches the Rfam family "Bacterial small subunit ribosomal RNA", at positions 392 to 917 of the family's 1533-position model. Lineage: Bacteria; Pseudomonadati; Pseudomonadota; Betaproteobacteria; Burkholderiales; Burkholderiaceae. The record is from RNAcentral.